ACGUCACAUCCAACCGAAACCGUUUCGGAACCGUUUGCCCGGUACUUGGGAUUGUAAAUUAUCAGUCAUGCAGGUUUUAUUUCCGGACCAAAAUGUACUCAAUUAACAGGGAUGAAAAUCCUAAGCAUAUCGCGCGAUUGAUUCGCGAGCAUGGGUUCAAUCCGAUCGCUGAUCGGAUGAAACAUCUUCGACGGCGAUGAGACUCCGAUAAAUAUUAAACCAGCUCCCUCCGGAACUCCGAGGUGGUAGCGCAUUUGGGACGGCCACCGGAAAUGCCGAAUCCCGUCGAUAGAUCGGCAGAGGAAUAUGAAAGACUUUCAAUUUCUUCCUUGCCGCGUCCUUUGUCUGUUCAUCCGAUGAAGCGGGAUGGCUUAUUCAAUUCUAUUGAAGAAGUUGAAGAGCUAUGUCACCGGAACAAAAAAAAUCCUUGCGUUCCCUCGGGCAACGGGGAAUUGCCAACUUGACAUUUGCUAAUGCCCCACCAAUCAGCAAGUAACUGCCUCGCAGCGGACAAUUUCUAAUCUCCUCAAUUCGACCUUAAUUACUUCGCCCGGUCGUCGCACACCUAUACGUUUCAUUCUCCUCUUAUAUAUAUUAUUGGCACACUUACACUUAUCUCGUCAUUUUAUUAUCAUACUCGUCGAAUCAUUAUCCACACAUUAUUGAACAAGUCAAGAUUUUCAAGUCAAUAAACCCUAACGCGGAACCAUCUCCCAGAGGGCUUUCUCAUAUCAUCACCUUCCAAUGUUUCAUGCCGAUCAUUACUACCGAUCAUUUUCACGCCUCGAUUCGUCCCAGCUUCUAAACCCUUUUCACUUUUCAUCUGAACAUUGAAU
Molecule: long non-coding RNA, 836 nt
Organism: Athalia rosae (coleseed sawfly)
Lineage: Eukaryota; Metazoa; Arthropoda; Insecta; Hymenoptera; Athaliidae
Exons: 3
Source: RefSeq, a predicted model, not a curated record